This 25-nucleotide non-coding RNA is filed under the name Cricetulus griseus (Chinese hamster). Lineage: Eukaryota; Metazoa; Chordata; Mammalia; Rodentia; Cricetidae. The record is from RNAcentral.
UUCCAGAGGUUGUGAGUUCAAUUCC